AGAUGAAAGUCGGCUACCAAACACCUGUUAAUUCUUAAACGAGCAAGAAACCAAGAAUAUAUAUGUGUGUGUAUUCCAAUUUUCACAAAGUACAUUAACAUAUAUGCUUCUAGAAAUACUAUAUUCCCUUAAUUCUCCCACUAAGUGUAAUUUCAAUGGACUAUGUGUCUAACUUUUGGAAAGCCAAUUGUAGUGGUGGAUGAAAUGGGGUUGUUUGCAAUGCACAAGUGGUGCUGCCCAUCAUCAUUAGGGUUAGGGGCGUGCAGUCUUGGAAGUUGGAUGGUUGUAGAUGUGAGUUUAAGUUUUCAACCUCAUUCCUAUGGGUGCAGCCCACCAAUCUUGAGCGUAAAGGCCACUCCUACCUUCCACUUGGCAGUUGGAAUCCAACUACAUAGUCACUAAGGAAAUUCGCACUGAAUUUUGGAAUACUCAAUUUCAGACAACAUUUACAUCCUAGGUCUAUUGAAAUUUAGACUUUGGAGUCACCAAGAUUAAUAAUCCAUCAUCACAAACUAAUUAGUUUAAGUUAUUUGUAUGAGCCCACUUUAACACUGACGGUAUGUAAUCCAUCCUUCAAUUUUAGUUUUUUAAUUAUAUUUUAUUUCAAAUAUAAUCAUUCGAUAUCCUUUCCUCAAAUAUAAAAGAAAUCCAUUACAAACGAAAUUUCUAUUAACUUGCUCCCAACCAAGAGUCUUUGCACGAGUGGUAAUAGACGCUCGUGACUUUCCCUUUGAAUUUCAAGUGGUCCAGUGCGCACGCGGGGUUAUAAUUGCAUAUGACACAUACAACACCAUCAUUGUUAGAGUCAGUCAGUCCACAAUGUCCUGCCUCGGGAUCACCACUAAUGUUAACAUGGUCCAUGUAAUAGUACUAGGAAUAUGACUUAAAUCAGGCAAACCACUACAAAUCGGGGGACCAUAACUUACGGCUUUCCUCAGAGCUUAAACAGGCAAAACAAAACAUUUUCAGGCAAGAUAGUCUAUUCAAACAUCAAAAAAAGAGUAGCCCAUCCUCAAAUCAGACACUUGCAUAGAAUGAGAAGAGGAGAAGACAAUAUACACACCGAUUGUGUCGUUAACAUGAAAGGUUUUUGUAGCAGCCCAGAGGUUGUAAUCAACAUUUCCAAUGGUGGUCCAGCCAGCAGAAUCUCCCACCUUAUA
Long non-coding RNA from Sesamum indicum (sesame), 1160 nucleotides. RefSeq lists it as uncharacterized. NCBI's taxonomy places the organism in Eukaryota, Viridiplantae, Streptophyta, Magnoliopsida, Lamiales, Pedaliaceae. The record is from RefSeq and is a predicted model, not a curated record.